RNAcentral lists this microRNA (21 nucleotides) under Eisenia fetida (common brandling worm). RNAcentral's name for it is "Efe-Mir-1995-P2_5p (mature (guide))". The record is from RNAcentral. Lineage: Eukaryota; Metazoa; Annelida; Clitellata; Crassiclitellata; Lumbricidae.
UUACAUCUCUCUAUGUAGUCA